CCUUUUGCCAAUCGCCUUGAGUUGAUCAUGGCUCAGGACGAACGCUGGCGGCGCGCCUAACACAUGCAAGUCGAGCGAGAACCAGGGCUUCGGCUCUGGGGACAGCGGCGAACGGGUGAGUAACACGUGGGUAAUCUGCCCUCGGCACCGGGAUAGCCCGGGGAAACCCGGAUUAAUACCGGAUGGCCUCUCGAGUUUUCGGACUCGAGCGAAAAGGUGGCUUCGGCUUCCGGCCGAGGAUGAGCCCGCGGCCGAUUAGCUUGUUGGUGGGGUAACGGCCCACCAAGGCAACGAUCGGUAGCUGGUCUGAGAGGACGAUCAGCCACACUGGGACUGAGACACGGCCCAGACUCCUACGGGAGGCAGCAGUGGGGAAUCUUGCGCAAUGGGCGAAAGCCUGACGCAGCGACGCCGCGUGCGGGAAGAAGGCCUUCGGGUUGUAAACCGCUUUCAGGAGGGACGAAGCCACUCGGGUUAAUAGCCUAGAGGGUGACGGUACCUCCAGAAGAAGCCCCGGCUAACUACGUGCCAGCAGCCGCGGUAAUACGUAGGGGGCUAGCGUUGUCCGGAUUUAUUGGGCGUAAAGAGCGUGUAGGCGGCCUGGCAAGUCCGACGUGAAAUCUGGAGGCUCAACCUCCAGCGGUCGUUGGAAACUGCUUGGCUAGAGUCCGGAAGAGGAGAGUGGAAUUCCUGGUGUAGCGGUGAAAUGCGCAGAUAUCAGGAAGAACACCGAU
Molecule: ribosomal RNA, 734 nt
Filed under: uncultured bacterium
Lineage: Bacteria
Description: bacterial SSU rRNA
Rfam family: Bacterial small subunit ribosomal RNA
Source: RNAcentral